This 376-nucleotide ribosomal RNA is filed under the name uncultured bacterium. RNAcentral's name for it is "bacterial SSU rRNA". It matches the Rfam family "Bacterial small subunit ribosomal RNA", at positions 523 to 898 of the family's 1533-position model. The record is from RNAcentral.
AUACGUAGGGGGCGAGCGUUGUCCGGAAUUAUUGGGCGUAAAGCGCGCGUAGGCGGCUGGUUAAGUCCUGUGUGAAAGACCACGGCUCAACCGUGGGGGUGCACGGGAAACUGGCCGGCUUGAGUGCAGGAGAGGGGAGCGGAAUUCCCCGUGUAGCGGUGGAAUGCGUAGAGAUCGGGAGGAACACCAGUGGCGAAGGCGGCUCCCUGGCCUGUAACUGACGCUGAGGCGCGAAAGCGUGGGGAGCGAACAGGAGUAGAUACCCUGGUAGUCCACGCCGUAAACGAUGAGUGCUAGGUGUUGGGGGCGUCAGGCCCUCUGUGCCGAAGGUAACCCAAUAAGCACUCCGCCUGGGGAGUACGGCCGCAAGGCUGAA